Molecule: long non-coding RNA, 1881 nt
Organism: Triticum dicoccoides
Lineage: Eukaryota; Viridiplantae; Streptophyta; Magnoliopsida; Poales; Poaceae
Exons: 4
Source: RefSeq, a predicted model, not a curated record
CCAACCGCGCCGCCGCCGCCGCCGCCCUACGACCAAGCCAUCCGCCGCCGAGCCCCUCCGCCCACGACCGCAACUUCCACCGCCGACUCCCUCCGCCGCAGGUUGCCACCAUUCUCGUCCUCGCCAAGGUCAAUGCCGAGCGCCGCCUGUUCCCCGUGCCUACUGCCGCUCCUCUGCUCCUUGGUCCGCGCACGAGCUCACGCGCAGCAAGCACGCGCCACUCCCCCAUGGCGUCAUCGUCGCGGCCUAUCCUCAGCGCCGCCCCUGCUGCUGGCCCUCACCGGCCGAGCGCCUCGCCGCUGGUCCGCCGCUCGACCUCCUUCCGCCUCUGCGCCCAAGGACGGCCUCCACCCCGCAACUCUGGUCAUCGACGCCUCGCCUAGCCUGCGCCAUGGCCCGUGACCGCUGCAGCACCACCGCGUCGGAGCAUCCCCGUCCUUGCCCUAGGUCGCCGGCCUUUUUCUUCCUUGUCCAGGAUAUCGAGGCCAACAUUUCCCCAGAUCGGCCAGCUCUUAAGCCUCCUCCAUCGCCUGUUGUUACUUUGCUCCUCUGGUGGCUGCAACAAGAGCCAUUCCUGCUGUUGGCUCUCUCCUCCACUGACUACCAGCUAGAAAAAUCCAUCGCAAGGUAAGCCUCUCAUGAUGCAUUCUUUUUUUGGCAGCAUGAUGUAUGUAUCGAUUGUAUGAGCCAGAAAAAACAUUUGAAUUGAAUUGAUGUCCAGGAGCUUGGGGUCAUCUCUCAUGCAAUGUAUUUGAUUUGGUUUUGAUGAAUGACUGUAUGACAGAUUGACCCUCUCCCACUUCUGCAUUGUUUUUACUUAUAGAUCAAAUUAACGAAUACAUUCAGUUUCUUUGGGAUGAUGCACCUAAAUACAGUCAAGUGUGCAAUGAUUAGAAAUUUUGGAUGCUUUGGGGCAUUUCUCAGAUGAUCUACUGUGCCUAUUCAGGUUAUCAAAAAGAAUACUGUGCCUAUUUAGACCAGUUAUAACAGGAAGGUGUAUUAAGUGUAAAUAUCAAGGAACCACAACUGUUUGUGCAUAGGUUCUAGAAAACACAAUUUUUGGGGAAACCAAAUCACUUAACUGCAACAAUGGGGGCGGAGACCUCGAGCUAGCUAUUCUGGCGCAGGGGUUGCACCGCUGCUUCAUCUCGUCCUUACAGAACUACUCCACUCGGGCAACUAAAAACCCAUAACGCACAUACUUGGUCUUUCUUCUACUUCAAGCACCUCUACUUUGAGCACGUUGCUUAGUCCAAGGCAAGUUCUUUGUCCAAUUUUCUGCUUACAAAUCCUGUCUAAUAUUUUAAACCAUUACACUGUUAUGUGCAUGUGGGGGAGAGGAUGUUAUUGGAUCUGGGAGCAGCAAGUUUACAGGGGUGGAUGUCUGCAGUGGAGCUCCUAUUUGAGCCUGAUGCACUAUUCUCUGGUGGCUAUAUUCUGGUUUGCAUCAUGUUCAGGUGAAUAUCUUCGAAAAGAAGAAUGACCCAGGGAGGAUAAAGUGACAUGGAUGACUGAUGGAAGAAAAAGAGCCGACAGUGUUAGAAGAAAUAAUGAGGACUUCAGAAUUUUGACAGGAGCAAUGUUGGAUCUGCUGUCACAGAUGUACAGUGUGCUUAGCAUUAUAAACAAGGCCUUGAACACAUCUCUUGAAGGUUUGACAAGAUCUUGAAGGUGUUGGAGGUUUGGCAAGAUUUGCAAGGCGUCCAUACUUUUUUUUGCUCAUUUUGGUGGUUAUUUUAGCACACAAGCCGAUGUAUGCUCAUUUUGGCUUUGUAGCACAUCUAGAAACAUGUCUUUUUUUUUUCUUUUGUGGCACAACAUCCUUAAUGUAUCAAGAAACAUGUAUUUGGUCGCUUAUCAAAUGAAGCUUGAGGUUUUGGA